CUCCGGUUGAUCCUGCCGGACCUGACUGCUAUCGGAUUGGUACUAAGCCAUGCGAGUCGUUGUAGCAAUACAAGGCGGACGGCUCAGUAACACGUAGUCAACCUAACCUAUGGACGUGGAUAACCUCGGGAAACUGAGAAUAAACCGCGAUAGAUCAUUAUGCCUGGAAUGGCUUAUGGUUCAAACAAUUUAUUGCCGUAGGAUGGGACUGCGGCCUAUCAGCUUGUUGGUGAGGUAAUGGCCCACCAAGGCUAUAACAGGUACGGGCUCUGAGAGGAGAAGCCCGGAGAUGGGUACUGAGACACGGACCCAGGCCCUAUGGGGCGCAGCAGGCGAGAAACCUUAGCAAUGUGCGAAAGCACGACUAGGUUAAUCCGAGUGAUUUCUGUUGAAGAAAUCUUUUGUCAGUCGUAAAACCACAGACGAAUAAGGGGUGGGCAAGUCUGGUGUCAGCCGCCGCGGUAAUACCAGCACCUCGAGUGGUCAGGAGGUUUAUUGGGCCUAAAGCAUCCGUAGCCGGCUACGCAAGUCUCCGGUUAAAUCCAGCUGCUCAACAGAUGGGCUGCCGGAGAUACUACAUAGCUAGGGAGCGGGAGAGGUAGACGGUAUUCUGUGGGUAGGGGUAAAAUCCACUGAUCCAUAGAGGACCACCAGUGGCGAAGGCGGUCUACCAGAACGCGUUCGACGGUGAGGGAUGAAAGCUGGGGGAGCAAACCGGAUUAGAUACCCGGGUAGUCCCAGCUGUAAACGAUGCAAACUCGGUGAUGCAUUGGCUUAUGGCCAAUGCAGUGCCGCAGGGAAGCCGUUAAGUUUGCCGCCUGGGAAGUACGGACGCAAGUCUGAAACUUUAAGGAAUGGCGGGGGAGCA
This 868-nucleotide ribosomal RNA is filed under the name uncultured archaeon. RNAcentral describes it as "bacterial SSU rRNA". It matches the Rfam family "Archaeal small subunit ribosomal RNA", at positions 1 to 878 of the family's 1478-position model. The record is from RNAcentral.